RNAcentral lists this unclassified non-coding RNA (253 nucleotides) under uncultured bacterium. RNAcentral's name for it is "contains 16S-23S intergenic spacer region". It matches the Rfam family "Bacterial small subunit ribosomal RNA", at positions 524 to 776 of the family's 1533-position model. The record is from RNAcentral.
UACGAGGGGAGCUAGCGUUAUUCGGAAUCACUGGGCGUAAAGGGCGUGUAGGCGGUUAGUUAAGUCAGUUGUUAAAUUUCCCAGCCCAACUGGGAACCAGCGAUUGAUACUGGCUAACUUGAGCACAGAAGAGAGAGGUAGAAUUAUCGGAGUAGCGGUAAAAUGCGUAGAUCUCGAUAGGAAUACCAGUUGCGAAGGCGGCCUCUUGGUCUGUUGCUGACGCUAAGGCGCGAAAGCGUGGGGAGCAAACAGG